This 205-nucleotide long non-coding RNA is filed under the name Capsicum annuum. RNAcentral's name for it is "long non-coding RNA (CANN_LNC003181)". The record is from RNAcentral. Lineage: Eukaryota; Viridiplantae; Streptophyta; Magnoliopsida; Solanales; Solanaceae.
GGACCACAAGAGGAGGAGUGAUUUUUUCCUAUGCUAGUCCAGGAGUUCUACUGAACUACCAGGUUGCACUAGAAAAUAUAUACAAGGAAGGAGAAAAAUGUAGCAGAUCAGCCUUUGAUAGAGAAAGUUGGAGUACAGGGUAUGAUGGUGAUCUCUCAGAUAUGACAAUCGACAGAUUUAUUCAUGGCCCUGUAUUCACCUCUUA